RNAcentral lists this ribosomal RNA (457 nucleotides) under uncultured bacterium. RNAcentral's name for it is "bacterial SSU rRNA". It matches the Rfam family "Bacterial small subunit ribosomal RNA", at positions 340 to 786 of the family's 1533-position model. The record is from RNAcentral.
UACGGGAGGGCAGCAGUGGGGAAUAUUGCACAAUGGGCGAAAGCCUGAUGCAGCUAUGCCGCGUGUAUGAAGAAGGCCUUAGGGUUGUAAAGUACUUUCAUCGGGGAGGAAAAAACAAAACUAAUAAUUUUAUUUCUUGACGUUACCCGAAAAAGAAGCACCGGCUAACUCCGUGCCAGCAGCCGCGGUAAUACGGAGGGUGCUAGCGUUAAUCAGAAUUACUGGGCGUAAAGAGCACGUAGGUGGUUUUUUUAAGUCAGAUGUGAAAUCCCUGGGCUUAACCUAGGAACUGCAUUUUGAAACUGAAAUACUAGAGUAUCGUAGAGGGAGGUAGAAUUCUAGGUGUAGCGGUGAAAUGCGUAGAUAUCUGGAGGAAUACCUGUGGCGAAAGCGGCCUCCUAAACGAAUACUGACACUGAGGUGCGAAAGCGUGGGGAGCAAACAGGGAUUAGAUACC